UACGUAGGGGGCAAGCGUUGUCCGGAAUUAUUGGGCGUAAAGGGCGCGUAGGCGGAUUUUUAAGUCUGGUGUGAAAGAUCAGGGCUCAACCCUGAGAGUGCAUCGGAAACUGGAGAUCUUGAGGACAGGAGAGGAAAGUGGAAUUCCACGUGUAGCGGUGAAAUGCGUAGAUAUGUGGAGGAACACCAGUGGCGAAGGCGACUUUCUGGCCUAGAACUGACGCUGAAGCGCGAAAGCGUGGGGAGCGAACAGGAUUAGAAACCCCGGUA
Molecule: ribosomal RNA, 269 nt
Filed under: uncultured bacterium
Lineage: Bacteria
Description: partial 16S ribosomal RNA
Rfam family: Bacterial small subunit ribosomal RNA
Source: RNAcentral